GAUGAACGCUGGCGGCGUGCCUAAUACAUGCAAGUCGAGCGAACAGACGAGGAGCUUACUCCUCUGACGUUAGCGGCGGACGGGUGAGUAACACGUGGAUAACCUACCUAUAAGACUGGGAUAACUUCGGGAAACCGGAGCUAAUACCGGAUAACAUGUUGAACCGCAUGGUUCAACAGUGAAAUACGGUCUUGCUGUCACUUAUAGAUGGAUCCGCGUCGCAUUAGCUAGUUGUUAAGGUAACGGCUUACCAAGGCAACGAUGCGUAGCCGACCUGAGAGGGUGAUAGGACACACGGGAAGAGAGACACGGUACAGACGCCUACGGGAGGCAGCAGUAGGGAAUCUUCCGCAAUGGGCGAAAGCCUGACGGAGCAACGCCGCGUGAGAGAAGAAGGUCUUCGGAUCGUAAAACUCUGUUAUUAGGGAAGAACAAAUGUGUAAGUAACUAUGCACGUCUUGACGGUAACUAAUCAGAAAGCCACGGCUAACUACGUG
Molecule: ribosomal RNA, 497 nt
Filed under: uncultured bacterium
Lineage: Bacteria
Description: partial 16S ribosomal RNA
Rfam family: Bacterial small subunit ribosomal RNA
Source: RNAcentral